AUUGAACGCUGGCGGCAGGCUUAACACAUGCAAGUCGAGCGGGGGAAGGUAGCUUGCUACCGGACCUAGCGGCGGACGGGUGAGUAAUGCUUAGGAAUCUGCCUAUUAGUGGGGGACAACAUCUCGAAAGGGACGCUAAUACCGCAUACGUCCUACGGGAGAAAGCAGGGGAUCUUCGGACCUUGCGCUAAUAGAUGAGCCUAAGUCGGAUUAGCUAGUUGGUGGGGUAAAGGCCCACCAAGGCGACGAUCUGUAGCGGGUCUGAGAGGAUGAUCCGCCACACUGGGACUGAGACACGGCCCAGACUCCUACGGGAGGCAGCAGUGGGGAAUAUUGGACAAUGGGGGGAACCCUGAUCCAGCCAUGCCGCGUGUGUGAAGAAGGCCUUAUGGUUGUAAAGCACUUUAAGCGAGGAGGAGGCUACUCUAGUUAAUACCUAGGGAUAGUGGACGUUACUCGCAGAAUAAGCACCGGCUAACUCUGUGCCAGCAGCCGCGGUAA
RNAcentral lists this ribosomal RNA (501 nucleotides) under uncultured bacterium. RNAcentral describes it as "partial 16S ribosomal RNA". It matches the Rfam family "Bacterial small subunit ribosomal RNA", at positions 30 to 523 of the family's 1533-position model. The record is from RNAcentral.